This 2582-nucleotide long non-coding RNA is filed under the name Sus scrofa (pig). RNAcentral describes it as "lncRNA (ENSSSCG00050010281.1)". The record is from RNAcentral. Lineage: Eukaryota; Metazoa; Chordata; Mammalia; Artiodactyla; Suidae.
AUUAUUAUACAUGUUCUGCCAUGCUUCGACCCCUCAGGGAUAACGUCUCUGAUUAUCAAGAAGAAAGCACUAGUCCAAAAAAAAGAAAAAAUUGCCUAGCAUGGUGGGGUUAUGGAAAAAAGCCACGUCCAACCAACUCCUGCAAUUUUCUGUUUCUUAGAGAUUUUGGUCUCUUGCUCUGAACUUCUCACUUUCUCAGAAAAAAAAAAAGAAGGAAAGAAAAAAAAAGUUAGUGCUAAGAAAGGCCUUCUGAAAAGUCUGACGCCUCUGUCCCUUAAUUUAUUUUCUCAUUAAUGAGUAAAGGGGGGAUUUAUUGUCUGAAACAAUGUCUGUUUCAUAUCAACUCUUUUUCCCUGUUUUUUCCCCCAGACAGUGGAGCUCCAAAGAGACCGGAGCAGAUGUUUUCUAUUUCAGGAGAGAAAAGUCUCCCCCAAUUCCUGAAAGAUUCCUGGAAUUCUUAUACUUAAUAAAAAUUAGCUACAGGGAAAGAAUCAUGAAUCAUGAUUUUGGAGUCCAUGAAGCCUCUGGGAGCUCAUGUCAUGUUCCCCCCUCCUAACCUCCCACCACCCCAAAUGCUGCCCAUCGCCCACCAGGCUUCAUGGGAAAAGCCCUCUGAAAAACAAGGCACCAGGCUCUUCUGGCUGCGCCCACAUGCAGCCCUGUAUUUCUGAUCACAGAAGCCAAUCUCUGUGUUAUAAUCCCAAAAGCUAGAAGAGGGAAUCAGACCUGGGGUUUACUCCUGGUUCAGCCUUGGCUUUGGUACUCAUUUCAGAAAUGCACCACUUCCAUUACCUACCUCAUCUGUCCAACAGAGUCAGCAGCAUCUGACCUCUCACUCUCUUUGGAGUAACGCAAAUAUGAAAUGAGAUGUAACUGUGCACUAAUAAAUUAAAUCCUUAUAAAAGUGAAUAGUAUUUGUAUUAAAAGCAUUGACAUCUGGCAUUCUGUUGACAAGGACUUGGGGUUAACUAGUACAUUUCUGCACAUGUGGGUAGGAUUACAACUCUCGAAGGCAUAUACCUCUCGAAGGUUGCCCAUCCCUGAUCAGGUCCCUUUACCACUCCCAGUAAAGGCUGUUGCAUCGCAAGCCUUUAACCAUUCGACAUUUAUUCAAUAAACAUUUAUUGAGCAUCUGGCACAGUACUUGGCACACGCUGGGUGCUCAGUAAAUGGUUGUUGAAUAAUGAAUGAAUGAGUGCCUAAUGCAGAGAUGAAAAAGACAUGGCAGGCUGCCACCAGUCUCUGAUCCUGAACCCAUAUCUGAAAUCAUUAAUGGAUUAAGGUGCUCUUCUCUGAAGACCUUGGACCCAGCUCAGAAUUCUCAGACUCGGCACACGAAAUGAAACCUCUUUGCCAUUCUGCACCUAGGCACAGAGAUAAAACACAUUCUGACCCUGCUUUCAUGGAACAAAUGAACGAACGGGGGAAAAGGCAGUAAAUUAACAAAGGUAACAUAGGAUAUGUUAAGACAGAAGUGCACGAGCCCAGAAGAAGGUCGUGGCAUUGAAGGAGGUGGACAAAAUGAGAGUUCUCAAACUUACCUUCCCUUUUAAAACGGUACUCCCAUUGCCUUUGGAAUGGAAAAGCAAUGAGAUCCUGCUGUAUAGCACUGGGGACUUUAUCUAGUCACUUAUGAUGGAGCAUGACUAUGUGAGAAAAAAGAAUGUACAUAUGUAUGUGUGAAUGGGUCAUCUUGCUGUACAGUAGAAAACUAAGAGAACACUAUAAGCCCGCUAUCAUGGAAAAAAAUAAAAAUCAUUUUAAAAAAAUGUCCUUUUUUCAUUCCUUCCCCUACCCAACUUCUAUACUUUGGCAUUCUAAGGGUCCUACCCUGGUCCUCCUGAAUUCUGUGUAGACCCUCUGGGAUCAUCUUAUUUCCUCUUUUACAUCAAGCUGAUUAACACCAGUCCCUAGCCUGGAACUCUGAAGUUUCAGACAAGUAUCUGGUGAUAGAAAUAAGGAAGAAGAAGACUUUAAGCCUAACUAUGAACUGGACUUGUGUUGGCAAUAUUCACAAAAACAGGGUUCCCUGCAAGAGAACCAAGUUGGGUGAAGUGGGGACAGUAUGCCUUCAUUUCUGACGGUAUUUCCAACUGCCUCCUACUCCUCCACUUGAACACCAGCAGGCUAUUCAAAUCCUAACUCAUGAACUCUCUUCCCCUAACCCUCCUUAGCACCUCUGUUCAGCUUCUAAUAAUCCUGAUAUCCUUUAAGCAUUACUAUUCAAGUCUUCUAAACUACAAAUCCUUAGCUUGGCGUAAUCUGACCCUGUGAUGGCCCCAGUCUCUGGCCACAAAGGUCAUGUGACUCCAAGCCUCUGCCCAUGGCAUGCACCCUGCUGAUAUGUACCACAGACUCUCUCUUUACUACGCUUUUGCAUCCUUUGACAUCCAAAAACCCAAUUCCAAUGUCACUUUGUUUUGUUUUGUUAUCUUUUUUUUUUUCUUUUAGGGCCACACCCAAGGCUUAUGGAGGUUCCCAGGCUAGGGGUCAAAUCGGAUCUGUGGCUGCCGGUCUACACACAGCCACAGCAACUUGGGAUCUGAGCUGCAUAUGCAACGUACACCACAGCUCAGGGCAGU